AAGUCGUAACAAGGUUUCCGUAGGUGAACCUGCGGAAGGAUCAUUAUCGUACAAUGGAGGUGCUGGGGUUGUCGCUGACUUUUGAAAGGGUCGUGCACACCUCGGUGCUCUCACAUAUAAUCCAUCUCACCCCUUUUGUGCAUCACCGCGUGGGGACCCCUUUUGGCUAGUUCUGAGGGGGGUUUUCACGUUUUUACACAGACACCCUUUUAAUGCAAUGUGUAGAAUGUCUUACUUUUUGCGAUCACACGCAAUCAAUACAACUUUCAACAACGGAUCUCUUGGCUCUC
RNAcentral lists this unclassified non-coding RNA (290 nucleotides) under Russula foetens. RNAcentral's name for it is "partial internal transcribed spacer region". The stretch from base 1 to 46 matches the Rfam family "Eukaryotic small subunit ribosomal RNA", at positions 1786 to 1831 of the family's 1831-position model. Lineage: Eukaryota; Fungi; Basidiomycota; Agaricomycetes; Russulales; Russulaceae. The record is from RNAcentral.